UUGCCUCCAAUUUGUAGUCAAUAGAGAGAAGGGAAUUUGCAACUAGCUAAAUUAUUUAGCACAGACAGGUAAUUUACUACUCUAUUGACGUACUCACAUAAGUCCAUGUAUCAGCGCCUUUGCACUAGAGCGCACCGUGCUUUUCCCUGCUGAAACUGGAACGUUGAAAGCUACGUACACAGCUGAAGGCUACGAGACUACGAGGAACGAAGAGGGAGAGUGGGGAUGCGAGUUUCAGGAGGGGUGCUUCAGUUGUGCCCUUGACGUUGAUCGCAUUUGCAUCUAAAGUGAUGUCAAUGCAUUUUGUUGGAUAAGUGUCUUUCAUGUUUACAUGCAUGAAACGUCUAGAUUGUCCAGACUUAUAUAAUCAACUCCUUGGAGAAGGCCCAGCUUCAGCACUCCACACACUGUCAAUCAAUCCGUCGAUGUUUUCAAUUAAAACCGGUCCCCGGUCGCAAUUUUUCAUUUCGAUGAAAAUUUCAUUGAAAUAGCCGAAUUAUAUACACGAUCCGGUGGUUCGAUCUGUUGGUAAACACAGCGCCACUAAAAACAUGAUUUACCCCUUUGCAAAUCAAAAGGGGAAUUAAAUAGCUUAUAACUUGAGUUGGGUCACCUGCUUUGAGACUAUCAAAGUGAUAAUUUUAUUAGUAAAGCGAACCCGCUAAUUAUAUUCCACGCAAAUUCAGUAUGAAUAAUUAUGAAAUUGCUGAUUUACGUGACAACGAAUGAAAUUUAUAUUUCGCAAAAUCAAACACAUUUCAUCUCGGAGAAAGUUUUCAGAGUUGCGCCUUGUUUAAGAUUUAUUGCAUCUGAAAAGAAACAUUAUAUUAUCAUCACGCCGCACGACGGCUCUGUAUUAAAUUUACAUGGCACAUUUUCCAUCUAAAUUUCCUGAAAAAUUUUGCACCCCUAAACGGAUUACAGCUAAUUGAGGAUAUGAAUCUAACAGAGCUCCACUUUAGUGUCAAAUUCAAUUCCCAUAUAUAAACCUUCCUCACCUACUACUUAAAAGAUCCUUCUAGAAUUAUCGAUCUCGGGAAUCUUACUUUAAUAUGCAUCGGCACUGCAUCCCCGAUCAAACUCAGCUCCAACUCAAACUUAAUCAACCCCCGAAUGUGUUAAUUUUAUCAAUAACCUUGACCGCCAAAUUGAUUCGCGGCCACAAUUUCACGAACAACAGUUAUGUCUAGUUUUAGAUCCAUUAAGAUAAUACAACGAAAUGUAACGAUUUACGAUGGUAAUAAGUAUUCUUUUUUUCGGCGAAGCUCAACCGUUUUUAAAGCUCGGCCGGAGAGCGCCGUAAUUACUUAGAAAAUAAGGCCAGAGAAAAUGCUUCUAAUCGCUUUAAUGCGACCUGCUAAGCAUUUAUGUUUAUGUGUUGUUUUCAUUUUAGGUAAUCUUCGUUAUUAAUUUUAAUUUUACCGCAAACGAAAUUUUAAACGAUCAUCUCGCCCAUCUGUAUUGAAACAUUUGCACGCAAAUUUAAGAUGCAAAAUUCGCUGUUUACCCAUCCCGCUUUGAAACAAAGAUAAUUACCAAUUACUGACGUGUCAAUUUGAUUUACUCACUAUUAGCACCCGUUGUAACAUAAACUCGUCCAAAAUUUAUAAUCAUAUAUUUCACACACGCACGUCAGACCUGUAUUGAAAUCGGAAACUUAUUCAAUUUCAUUCCAAUAAUGAAAAUAUCGAAUUUUUCCUAAAAGAUAAAAUAAAGACCAAUAGAUGUCAGCAACGUGUUCUUCAUGGUUUAUUUGACAACAAACAUUCCUACAAUUUUCUAUCGCUCCGCUUUUGCAUGUUUCUUUAAAGUGGGUGUGUGAAAUGUAAAUUUUCGGAUUUUACGGAAUCUUGAAGGGACAAAAUAUUUCGCGAUAAAAGUAAUAGCUAAAACAUAAAAUACCACUUUUUGUUUAUUUAGGAACUCGCUUUCAAAACUCUAUUUUAAAUUUUCAACUCCGACUCACCCCACAAUCCAAUACAUUGUUAUGUUCAUGUCAUAUUCGCAAAUUUUUCACCAUUGAACAUGAUGACGGUGCAAAUGUGCUUGCACUCACACUGAAUUUGACACAAAAGGCGUAUGAAACAUAUUCGAAUUUAUUUCAGCUGAAAAUUAUUAUUGCACAAAUGGAUCCAAAACGACUGCAAAUGCAAUCACCUUUUGGUAUCACGACUUACAUGCAACAACUAAAUUGCAAGUCCGCGAAUGAAUGUAUUAUUUUAAUAACAGUAGUCGCCGAUUUCCAAAACUAAGAAUUUUUUUAAGGUUCAUAAACAUUCACCUCACUAAAAAAUACUAGAAGAAUUUACGUUAAUGUAAAGGAAACCGAAAAAUUAUUUUGCAGAAUUUAGUGUUAUUCUCGGUGUUGAACUUAAAAUAGCUAAUUUUUUGAGUGUUUUUGUAAUAAUAAUGCUAUGAGAACAACUCUCCCUCUGUCGGGUGAUUAAAUCGUGAGUGCUUUGUCUAAUUCGGGAAAAAUGCGCUUUCCCGUUUAUUUAUUUUAUUAUUAAAUUCGCUUUUUAGCAGAACUGGGUUUGACAUUUGGUGAAAAGCCCGUGGUAUAUAGUGACAUCUUAAUAAAUUUGCUAUUAGUGAGCGUGCGAGAGGUCGGUCGAGCAAUGCUUUUAACCGGACGCUUAGUCAUUACAACACAUGAGGAAGUUAAGGACUUCGAUAGGAAAUCCAAAACAAAGGAUUCACGGUUGCUCCAAAUCUCUCCUAUUCACCUCUCAAAUGAAUUAUGGACAAACAGUUGUCGCUCUCUCCAUGCAAAAUUCAAAUACACGAACCGUUAACGGAAUGGAAUUCGACGAUUCAAGUUCGCAAACCAUGUAAUUGGGGGGAAUCUAAUUGAAAAAGAAUGGACGUCAAUAGGGCUUUGUUCACUUUGUUUUCGGUCAAAAAAGUUACUCAACUCGCUCGGAAAAACAAAAUUUUGCUCAAUAAAUAUCUGCCCACAUCAACUAAACAUUUUUGUAAUACAUGCCAUGUUGACAUGAUCUUGUUUACUACAGAGCGAACAAGAAGUGGAUUAUCGCCGGUAAUCUCAUUAUGACAAUUGAUAAUCGCGAUAAUAUAACCACGUACGAAUCGCUAGAUCAUAAUACCAAGAUACAACGCAGUUAUUUCUGCUAAUUGUACAUACGCAUCAAACAAAACGCCAAAUAAUUUAAUUUCCGGUUAAAUUCGGCAGAUAACGUGUAUGUAGGUACUACUUUGUUGCUUUCAGCUCUGUUACCACUUAAAAACCCAAAUUAAAAAGUUUGUUAAUAAGCCAAUAAUUUGGGCAACGAAUACCACUCCCACCAGUGGCGUUAACUUAGUUCAUAAAAUGGUGAAAGAACGCAAAAACGCCUGCAAUUGCUAGACCACAAAAAAGGGUCAACCAAUGGAAUCGCAGUAGGCGGAACCCAUGACCGGUUAUAAAUCGGUGGCAACACCAAAAAAAAUUAUGGCUGGAUUAAAGAUAGGGCGAACGUCUUCAACAAUAUCGCAACGUUUCUCAAUUUCUACAAAUAUUUUAUGUGGAUUUAAAUUAUGAAUUCAACACACAAGUUAUUAAAAGUGUGUUUUUGUUUUACACUGAACGAAAAGUUCAAACUCCGGUCCCGUUUAAUACAAAAACACAAGAAGAACUGAUUUUUUAGCUCAAGAAACAGCUGUUUAAACGCUUAAAAUAGAUAAAAAUCACACCAUGUUGGAAAAUUUCGCGAAGUAUUUGUUUAAUUAUUCCAAAGCGCCUAUUUAUCUACUGUUUACUUUCAUACCCCAAGGCAUCCGAAAAAAUGUUUUUAACAUUGCUAUAAAUAGAAUUUCAUUUUUUAUUUUGUAUACGGGGCCGAAAAUUUAAUAUUCCAAAUUUAGACCUCUUUGAGCGAAGUUUUUAAUAAUAAAUUUAUCCAACCGCACAUGAGACAAAUAUAGGAAGAGCGAACGGCGGGAAACAAAAAAUACAAACAAUAAAGAGGCCGAGAGAACCUCACACAUGACCAGAUUAUCCGAAGCGAACAUUAAUUUAGGAAGUGUUUCAUUGUUUUUGCCGUGCUGAUUUAGAUGUUUCCAAGUGUUUCAAUUAAAUAAAAAUUCCCCACACUGGGGUAGCACCGAA
Long non-coding RNA from Tribolium castaneum (red flour beetle), 4108 nucleotides. RefSeq lists it as uncharacterized. NCBI's taxonomy places the organism in Eukaryota, Metazoa, Arthropoda, Insecta, Coleoptera, Tenebrionidae. The transcript has 2 exons. The record is from RefSeq and is a predicted model, not a curated record.